Molecule: long non-coding RNA, 1804 nt
Filed under: Olea europaea subsp. europaea
Lineage: Eukaryota; Viridiplantae; Streptophyta; Magnoliopsida; Lamiales; Oleaceae
Source: RNAcentral
CAAAAACUGUUCUCCAUGAUCUUUUGCUUUCCAUCAAAAUUCUUUGUACUGUGAAUCCUUCAUUCUUUUCCCCUAAUUCGUCAUCGAAUCCUCAAAUCAUUUUGCUCUUUUUCCUUCUUUCUGCAACAUUUUUACAUACAUAGUCUAUAGAUAUAGAUAUAGUGGGAGGGGAAAAAAGAGAAAGCUAUGCUUGACUUUGGUGAUGAGUUGAUAAUCGAGAGCUACAAAAUCUCAUGGCUAAUAUGGAUCCAUCUUCUUGUUACGAUUCUUUUCAUAAUCCUUAUUUUCUUUGGAUUCAACAUUUUUACUUCAGAUUUCUCCCAAAAUCCUUCCACCACUACGACAUCAGCUCCGCCUUCAACUAGCUCUUCGCAAAGAACCAAGGUCAGUUUAAUAAUUUCCUUUAUCAACUAUUUUCUGUCAGGGACUGAGUUUAUUUUCUUUUUCUAGAGAAAUUUAAUAAACUUAUUAUUAUUUUUUUUUCUGUUAGAUGUUUGGGAAGAAAAUUAAAAUGGGAAAGCAUUGAAAUCGUCAUGUAUUUGUUCCUUAGAAUCAUAAGAUCCAAGAGAAGCACAAGGGGAAAAAAAGGAUAUUUUAGUCCCAAAUUAUGUAGUUGUAGGAGGAUAAAUUAUGGGAUUGUCGAAUUAGGCAGUUGCAAGUUGGGACAUGUUCUACGUAGAUAUAGAGUAUGAGAAUUGAUUUUUUGAUCGUUAAAGAUAAGCGGGUUCCACUUGUGAGUGAGGAAAUGAAAAAUAACAGUUAAAAUAAUAAAAUAAUGAUAAAAAAAAUUGAUUUUUCGGAUUGAAAAAUUGCUACCAAAUGGGGCAUAGAUUUGAUCAAGAGUUGGCGGGCUGGUCCAAAUUUUAAGGUGUUUUGUUCUAGUUACUCAAGAUUACAUACUUCUUGAUGUUUCAAAUGAAUUGAAAGAAGUGACGGAAAAUAAUACAUGAAGCUGAUCUCAAAUUUAUUAGGAAUAAGUAUUGUUGCGGUUACGUGGGGUCGGAAAUUGAGUUAUAUUUAUAUUUGAUUGGGUUAUAAUUGAGUUGUUGGCAAGUUGACAUUGUUAUAUUUAGAAUGCAAGUUAUGUUGAUUUGCAUAUUAAAGGUGACUAGUAAGAAUUACUGUUAAGUUUGAUUAACGAUCAUAUUCAGUUUCUAAGAUCGUCUAUUUGCCACUGAGAACUGACAUCACGAACUUCUUGGAUGCAUAUCCUGUGACUCUUUUUCGAAAGAUGUGAAUUAUUGUUUGAACAUGUUACUUUUAUAAAUAAAUUUACAAUUUCGGUAGGGAAUAGAAUGUUUAAAUUUAAAUUUUAUCUUAGCAGGUAAAUGAAAACCGAAGAAUUAAGAGAGAUGCUGGAACAAGUGGACGAACAAUAGUAGAAGUCGAAGAAUGUGAAGAAUCUUCAUUGAAUGAUUCUAUAUUUUUUAGGCUUUUUAGACAUCCAAAGCAACCUUGCAACUAUCUCGGGCUAGUUAAACAAGCUCUUUUCAAGUGUUUCGGCUUAGAUUCCAGAUGCGAGAGCUCAAACAACGGAAAACUCGAAAAUGAAGAUUGAUGUAAACACUCUCUUUGUGCACAAACACGCACUAAGACUUGUGCAUGUGUGCUCAAACAUAAUCAUACAUAUGUAGUGGUGUCAAGCAGGUCAACCCAUUUGAAAUGUGCCUAGGUUGAGUUUAGUUAAGAGUAAUGGUAUUUAAUACCAUUAGUAUUAAAACAUAGAUUUAAGUGUCAUUAAAUGAAAUGUAUAAUUACAUGAAUCACGCAAUUUCAUAUUUAAUUGAAUCUAUCAGAGCGCUUG